Molecule: ribosomal RNA, 841 nt
Filed under: uncultured Actinomycetes bacterium
Lineage: Bacteria; Bacillati; Actinomycetota; Actinomycetes
Description: bacterial SSU rRNA
Rfam family: Bacterial small subunit ribosomal RNA
Source: RNAcentral
GGAAAGGCCCUGCUUUUGUGGGGUGCUCGAGUGGCGAACGGGUGAGUAACACGUGAGUAACCUGCCCUUGACUUUGGGAUAACUUCAGGAAACUGGGGCUAAUACCGGAUAGGAGCUCCUGCUGCAUGGUGGGGGUUGGAAAGUUUCGGCGGUUGGGGAUGGACUCGCGGCUUAUCAGCUUGUUGGUGGGGUAGUGGCUUACCAAGGCUUUGACGGGUAGCCGGCCUGAGAGGGUGACCGGCCACAUUGGGACUGAGAUACGGCCCGGACUCCUACGGGAGGCAGCAGUGGGGAAUAUUGCACAAUGGGCGGAAGCCUGAUGCAGCAACGCCGCGUGCGGGAUGACGGCCUUCGGGUUGUAAACCGCUUUCGCCUGUGACGAAGCGUGAGUGACGGUAAUGGGUAAAGAAGCACCGGCUAACUACGUGCCAGCAGCCGCGGUGAUACGUAGGGUGCGAGCGUUGUCCGGAUUUAUUGGGCGUAAAGGGCUCGUAGGUGGUUGAUCGCGUCGGAAGUGUAAUCUUGGGGCUUAACCCUGAGCGUGCUUUCGAUACGGGUUGACUUGAGGAAGGUAGGGGAGAAUGGAAUUCCUGGUGGAGCGGUGGAAUUCGCAGAUAUCAGGAGGAACACCAGUGGUGAAGGCGGUUCUCUGGGCCUUUCCUGACGCUGAAUAGCGAAAGCGUGGGGAGCGAACAGGCUUAGAUACCCUGGUAGUCCACGCUGUAAACGGUGGGUACUAGGUGUGGGGUCCAUUCCACGGGUUCCGUGCCGUAGCUAACGCUUUAAGUACCCCGCCUGGGGAGUACGGCCGCAAGGCUAAAACUCACAUGAAUUGACGGGG